This 274-nucleotide long non-coding RNA is filed under the name Physcomitrium patens. Its description in RNAcentral is "long non-coding RNA (PPAT_LNC003100)". The record is from RNAcentral. Lineage: Eukaryota; Viridiplantae; Streptophyta; Bryopsida; Funariales; Funariaceae.
CAUAAGCAGAACCAUCGUCAAGUACUUUUGUUUCCAUCCGUAUUGCCGUAAUAUAAGAUUGUCCUAAAAUCAACGGAUAAGACGUUGUAUCUUGAACAAAGAAAUGUUGCUCCGUCACAACAUCCUCAAUCCGAAUUUUGACAUCUGGACAAGCUCCAUAUAAUUUGCCUUGUGUAUUAUUAGUUGCUCAAAUUGUCCAUCCAUGUUCCAUAUCAAUUGGCCAUUUUUGCUUCUUAUAAAGAUCUUUAGACAUGAGAUUUAUUUCAGAACCAUG